AGCAGCCGCGGUAAUUCCAGCUCCAAUAGCGUAUAUUAAAGUUGUUGCAGUUAAAAAGCUCGUAGUUGAAUUUCGGGAUUAGUAAGUUGGUCGUGCCUCCGGUAUGUACUGGCUCUACUGGUUCCUCCUUCUUGAAGAACUGUAAUGUCAUUAAUUUGGUGUUGCAGGGAAACAGGACUGUUACUUUGAAAAAAUUAGAGUGUUUAAAGCAGGCUAACGCUUGAAUACAUUAGCACGGAAUAAUGAAAUAGGACGUUUGAUCCUAUUUUGUUGGUUUCUAGGAUUGACGUAAUGAUUAAUAGGGAUAGUUGGGGGCAUUAGUAUUCAAUUGUCAGAGGUGAAAUUCUUGGAUUUAUUGAAGACUAACUACUGCGAAAGCAUUUGCCAAGGAUGUUUUCAUUAAUCAAGAACGAAAGUUAGGGGAUCGAAGACGAUCAGAUACCGUCGUAGUCUUAACCAUAAACUAUGCCGACUAGGGAUCGGAUGAUGUUAAUUUUUUAAUGACUCAUUCGGCGCCUUA
RNAcentral lists this ribosomal RNA (520 nucleotides) under uncultured Glomeromycotina. Its description in RNAcentral is "SSU rRNA". It matches the Rfam family "Eukaryotic small subunit ribosomal RNA", at positions 569 to 1090 of the family's 1831-position model. Lineage: Eukaryota; Fungi; Glomeromycota. The record is from RNAcentral.